Molecule: ribosomal RNA, 541 nt
Filed under: uncultured bacterium
Lineage: Bacteria
Description: bacterial SSU rRNA
Rfam family: Bacterial small subunit ribosomal RNA
Source: RNAcentral
GGAAUAUUGGACAAUGGGCGAAAGCCUGAUCCAGCAAUGCCGCGUGAGUGAUGAAGGCCUUAGGGUUGUAAAGCUCUUUUACCAGGGAUGAUAAUGACAGUACCUGGAGAAUAAGCUCCGGCUAACUCCGUGCCAGCAGCCGCGGUAAUACGGAGGGAGCUAGCGUUGUUCGGAAUUACUGGGCGUAAAGAGUACGUAGGCGGUGAUUCAAGUCAGAGGUGAAAGCCUGGAGCUCAACUCCAGAACUGCCUUUGAAACUAGAUCGCCAGAAUUGUGGAGAGGUUAGUGGAAUUCCGAGUGUAGAGGUGAAAUUCGUAGAUAUUCGGAAGAACACCAGUGGCGAAGGCGACUAACUGGACACAUAUUGACGCUGAGGUACGAAAGCGUGGGGAGCAAACAGGAUUAGAUACCCUGGUAGUCCACGCCGUAAACGAUGAUAACUAGCUGUUCGGGGUCUACGAUCCUGAGUGGCGCAGCUAACGCAUUAAGUUAUCCGCCUGGGGAGUACGGUCGCAAGAUUAAAACUCAAAUGAAUUGACGG